AUUGAACGCUGGCGGCAGGCCUAACACAUGCAAGUCGAGCGGAUGAAGGGAGCUUGCUCCUGGAUUCAGCGGCGGACGGGUGAGUAAUGCCUAGGAAUCUGCCUGGUAGUGGGGGAUAACGUCCGGAAACGGGCGCUAAUACCGCAUACGUCCUGAGGGAGAAAGUGGGGGAUCUUCGGACCUCACGCUAUCAGAUGAGCCUAGGUCGGAUUAGCUAGUUGGUGGGGUAAAGGCCUACCAAGGCGACGAUCCGUAACUGGUCUGAGAGGAUGAUCAGUCACACUGGGACUGAGACACGGUCCAGACUCCUACGGGAGGCAGCAGUGGGGAAUAUUGGACAAUGGGCGAGAGCGUGAUCCAGCGCUGCCGCGUGUGUGAAGAAGGUCUUCGGAUUGUAAAGCACUUUAAGUUGGGAGGAAGGGCAGUAAGUUAAUACCUUGCUGUUUUGACGUUACCAACAGAAUAAGCACCGGCUAACUUCGUG
RNAcentral lists this ribosomal RNA (484 nucleotides) under uncultured bacterium. RNAcentral describes it as "partial 16S ribosomal RNA". It matches the Rfam family "Bacterial small subunit ribosomal RNA", at positions 30 to 507 of the family's 1533-position model. The record is from RNAcentral.